RNAcentral lists this ribosomal RNA (468 nucleotides) under uncultured bacterium. RNAcentral's name for it is "partial 16S ribosomal RNA". It matches the Rfam family "Bacterial small subunit ribosomal RNA", at positions 28 to 507 of the family's 1533-position model. The record is from RNAcentral.
GACGAACGCUGGCGGCGUGCUUAACACAUGCAAGUCGAACGGAAAGGCCCUGUUUUUGUUGGGUGCUCGAGUGGCGAACGGGUGAGUAAUACGUGAGUAACCUGCCCUUGACUUUGGGAUAACUUCAGGAAACUUGGGCUAAUACCUGCUAGGAGCUCCUGCUGCAUGGUGGGGGUUGGAAAGUUUCGGCGGUUGGGGAUGGACUCGCGGCUCAUCAGCUUGUUGGUGGGGUAGUGGCUUACCAAGGCUUUGACGGGUAGCCGGCCUGUGAGGGUGACCGGCCACAUUGGGACUGGGAUACGGCCCAGACUCCUACGGGGGGCAGCAGUGGGGGAUAUUGCACGAUGGGCGGAAGCCUGAUGCAGCAACGCCGCGUGCGGGAUGACGGCCGUCGGGUUGUGAACCGCUUUCGCCUGUGACGAAGCGUGGGUGACGGGAAUGGGUAAAGUAGCACCGGCUAACUACGUG